UACGGAGGGGGUUAGCGUUGUUCGGAAUUACUGGGCGUAAAGCGCGCGUAGGCGGAUUGGAAAGUUGGGGGUGAAAUCCCGGGGCUCAACCCCGGAACGGCCUCCAAAACUAUCAGUCUAGAGGUCGAGAGAGGUGAGUGGAAUUCCGAGUGUAGAGGUGAAAUUCGUAGAUAUUCGGAGGAACACCAGUGGCGAAGGCGGCUCACUGGCUCGAUACUGACGCUGAGGUGCGAAAGCGUGGGGAGCAAACAGG
This 253-nucleotide unclassified non-coding RNA is filed under the name uncultured Rhodobacterales bacterium. RNAcentral describes it as "contains 16S-23S intergenic spacer region". It matches the Rfam family "Bacterial small subunit ribosomal RNA", at positions 524 to 776 of the family's 1533-position model. Lineage: Bacteria; Pseudomonadati; Pseudomonadota; Alphaproteobacteria; Rhodobacterales. The record is from RNAcentral.